Molecule: ribosomal RNA, 296 nt
Filed under: Escherichia coli
Lineage: Bacteria; Pseudomonadati; Pseudomonadota; Gammaproteobacteria; Enterobacterales; Enterobacteriaceae
Description: partial 23S ribosomal RNA
Rfam family: Bacterial large subunit ribosomal RNA
Source: RNAcentral
CGCUGGAGAACUGAGGGGGGCUGCUCCUAGUACGAGAGGACCGGAGUGGACGCAUCACUGGUGUUCGGGUUGUCAUGCCAAUGGCACUGCCCGGUAGCUAAAUGCGGAAGAGAUAAGUGCUGAAAGCAUCUAAGCACGAAACUUGCCCCGAGAUGAGUUCUCCCUGACUCCUUGAGAGUCCUGAAGGAACGUUGAAGACGACGACGUUGAUAGGCCGGGUGUGUAAGCGCAGCGAUGCGUUGAGCUAACCGGUACUAAUGAACCGUGAGGCUUAACCUUACAACGCCGAAGCUGUU